This 253-nucleotide ribosomal RNA is filed under the name uncultured bacterium. Its description in RNAcentral is "partial 16S ribosomal RNA". It matches the Rfam family "Bacterial small subunit ribosomal RNA", at positions 524 to 776 of the family's 1533-position model. The record is from RNAcentral.
UACAGAGGUCUCAAGCGUUGUUCGGAUUCAUUGGGCGUAAAGGGUGCGUAGGUGGCGGUGUUAGUCAGGUGUGAAAUCUCGGAGCUCAACUCCGAAACUGCACUUGAUACUGCCUUGCUAGAGUACUGGAGAGGAGAUUGGAAUUUACGGUGUAGCAGUGAAAUGCGUAGAUAUCGUAAGGAAGACCAGUGGCGAAGGCGAAUCUCUGGACAGUUACUGACACUGAGGCACGAAGGCCAGGGGAGCAAACGGG